RNAcentral lists this ribosomal RNA (889 nucleotides) under uncultured archaeon. RNAcentral describes it as "bacterial SSU rRNA". It matches the Rfam family "Archaeal small subunit ribosomal RNA", at positions 21 to 903 of the family's 1478-position model. The record is from RNAcentral.
GGCUACUGCCAUCAGGAGUUCGAGUUAAGCCAUGUUAGUCGAGGGUGCUUCUUCUUCGGAAGAUGUAACCCGGCGGACGGCUCAGUAACACGUGAUAACUUGCCCUUGGGUCCGGGAUAACCCCUGAGAAAUUGGGGACAAUACCGGAUAGGGCAUCGAUUGCUGGAAUGCACGAUGUCCAAAAGCUGAGGCGCCCAAGGAUAGGUCUGCGGCCGAUUAGGUUGUUGUUGAUGUAAUGGAUCAACAAGCCUGCAAUCGGUACGGGUUGUGAGAGCAAGAGCCCGGAGAUGGGUUCUGAGAAAAGAACCCAGGUCCUACGGGACGCAUCAGGCGCGAAAACUUUACAAUGUGCGAAAGCACGAUAAGGGAACUCUGAGUGCCUCCUAUGGAGGCUGUUCAGGUGUCUAAAAAGCACUUGAAGUAAGGGCUGGGUAAGACCGGUGCCAGCCGCCGCGGUAACACCGGCAGCCCAAGUGGUAGCCACGCUUAUUGGGUCUAAAGCGUCCGUAGCCGGCCAGGUAAGUUCUUUGGGAAAUUUAACCGCUCAACGGUUAAGCUUUCAGGGAAUACUGCUUGGCUUGGGACCGGGAGAGGUCAGAGGUACUUCAAGGGUAGGGGUGAAAUCCGUUAAUCCUUGAGGGACCACCAGUAGCGAAGGCGUCUGACCAGACCGGGUCCGACGGUGAGGGACGAAGGCUAGGGUCGCGAACCGGAUUAGAUACCCGGGUAGUCCUAGCUGUAAACGAUGCGGGCCAGGUGUUGGCAUUACUGCGAGUGAUGUCAGUGCCGAAGGGAAGCCGUUAAGCCCGCCAUCUGGGGAGUACGGUCGCAAGGCUGAAGCUUAAAGGAAUUGGCGGGGGAGCACCACAACGGGUGGAGCCUGCGGUUC